AUGGCUUUCGGGCUCCUGGGCUUUGUGGUGCUGUGUCUCCUAGGAGCAGGCCCCAUGGAAGCCGAGGUGACCCAGACCCCGAGAUACUUCAUCACAGGGACCGGAAGGCAGUUGACACUGCAUUGUUUUCAGGAUAUGAACCACGACGCUAUGUACUGGUAUCGACAAGACCCAGGGCUGGGUCUCAAGCUGAUCUACUAUUCACGGAACGUUGAGUUUGUUGAGGAUGGAGAUGUCCCUCAUGGCUUCACUGCCUUGCGGAAAGAGAAGAAGAAUUUCCCCCUGACCCUGAAGUCGGCAGGCACCAACCAGACCUCUCUGUACCUCUGUGCCAUCAGUGAAUCCACAGUGCUGCUCAGCCAUCUGCUCUCUGCACCAAAAGGACACCACAAGAGCGAGGAGGCUCCUUCAUGGGGGGCCCACCCCAAGCAGCAGGAAAACUCCCUCCACCAUCAGUGCCCAUAG
Neomonachus schauinslandi (Hawaiian monk seal) is the source of this 465-nucleotide non-coding RNA. Lineage: Eukaryota; Metazoa; Chordata; Mammalia; Carnivora; Phocidae. The record is from the annotation of a RefSeq genome assembly.